Long non-coding RNA from Agelaius phoeniceus (red-winged blackbird), 1004 nucleotides. RefSeq lists it as uncharacterized. The record is from RefSeq and is a predicted model, not a curated record. NCBI's taxonomy places the organism in Eukaryota, Metazoa, Chordata, Aves, Passeriformes, Icteridae.
CCUCCCGUCCCUCAUCGCCCUCGGACCCCGGGCGGCCCUCGGAGGCUCCCGGGCGCCACAAGGAGCGCGGGGGAUGGCCCCCCAAGAGCCCUGAGCCUCCGCGGCUCAGUCAGCACCCGGGCAGGCCGACAGCAGGCGGGAGCGGACGGGCAGGCGGGUCUCCGGUUACAGGUGCCGCGUCCAGCGCCGCCGGCCCCAGAGCCACCUCAGGCCGCUGCGACCCGCCCCCACCACCCCGCCGAUCGCACAGGCCGCCCGCGUCCUCCCCCUUACCGAGCAGGGCGGCCGCCGCCAGCAGCCCCCGGGCCAUAUCGGGGUGCAGGGACGGGGCGCGGCGGGAGCGGACUCGGACCGAGGGCGGGCGCGGGGCGGCGGCGGCGGCUCCGCGCUCGGGGCGCUCUGGCGACGGCCCCGGCCGGUCAUGUGACCGCUGACGUCACAGAGGCGGGGCGCCCGUCACGUGACCCGGCCGGGGCACAGCAGCGGCGAUGAGGGAGGGGAGGAUCUCGCGAGAGCUGGGCCGUGUGAGGGGAGCGGGGCCGGGUGAGGGGAGCGGGCUCUGGGCUGUGUGCCACUGCAGCUAAAGGCAGUCUGAGGGGUAUGCUUACUUCAUCUGAAACCCCAGAAGCUGGAUCUCGCUCCUGCAAUCCUGUUUCUAGUCCGACUGGAAUGUGUGCCAUUAGCAGUGUCCUCUGCUUUCUCACAACGGCUGCUGUAGAGUCCCUCUCCUCACUACAGGCUGCUCCAGAUUCAUCAUCUCUGAGGCAGAAUGAUUCCUGCUCCCAAGCUGCCUUCGUACUUUUUUACAUUGAACCCAUUUGAAAUGCAAUUUAGCAGUGCAUGCAGCUGCUUGAAUAAUGUACAUCAACCUGAAAUCUGCUAAAAGGAAGUCUGGAACAGCAUAUGUAUUUGGUGUCCUAAAGAUAUAUGUGGAUGAUUUUGGUUUUUAUUUUUUAAGUUUUUUAAAAUUUUUUAAAUAAAACUAUUUCUUCUUCUUUAUGCAA